Long non-coding RNA from Folsomia candida, 1472 nucleotides. RefSeq lists it as uncharacterized. NCBI's taxonomy places the organism in Eukaryota, Metazoa, Arthropoda, Collembola, Entomobryomorpha, Isotomidae. The transcript is spliced from 6 exons. The record is from RefSeq and is a predicted model, not a curated record.
CCAUUUUUGAGAAGCAUGAUCUGCAUUGAAUCUGCCAACAAGUAUUCAACAUGACGCGACUCGGGCAAGUUCCAUUCAUUGCAUAACAUUAUCCCAUUUACUCCUUCGUACGGGGAAAUGAGCAGAGUGAAAGUACCGAAGCGAAAGUGAAAGUAUAGGAAGCCCACACAAUGCAUGGUGUAAUGCAAGCGUAAAAUGUGAUCCACGUUGGAGGAUUCUUGUCCAUUCACAUAUUUGAGAACAAGGUCGUCGGGUUGGGACGCGGACGUGGGCUGCACAAGUUGGGUAUAGUUAUUCGGGUCAGAGAAGUGAAAGUCGCGUAAAAUAGUGGGGAUGAGGAGUUCUCUAGUGUCCUGGCCAUGUUUUACUCAGCCAGGAUAAAAUGACGAUAUAUUGACGUAUCAUAUUUAUUUUGUGUAAUAAUAAUUGAGAGACCGUCCUCUACACAGUUAAUAUCAAGUCAUACCUUUGUUGUUCAAAAUAUAAUGCAAAUUUUUAAAUGUCAUAUCGUGACAUAAAUAUAAAUAUAUAGGUGAAGGAGUGAAGUUUCAAAAUUUUUCGAAUUUAAGUUUAGUGCCUUUUGAUUUCCGUCGGUCUGUGUGGGCUUAAUUAUAUAAAAAAAUAUUCAUUAUCAAGGCCAUUUUUAGAAGCAGGUGUACCCCUUAUUAUUGUGCAGGUACAAUAACGUUAGUGGGAAAUGACGGUUUUUUAUAUCUCCCGAGUGAAAGUUAAGCGUACAAGGAAAAAUGUCCCUGCUCAGUGUGACGGUUAAGAAGGCUGAAUUUUCUCAAGGACAAGGUACCUAGGCUAGGCGCUGCAUAUUUAGUUAUGUCCCUAAUUUCUCUGUCAUUUGCAAUAGAUACAGCUCACGAAUGGAACUCGUACGAUACGUUGAAGUUGCACAAUGUCAAGUCGACCACGGUGCAGGUGAAAGGAGCCAGCCCGAGAUGGGAGCAGGACUUUCUUUUCCGUCGGGUAUCACUGGCUCAAUCUGAGAGAAAUUCAGCACUCAAACGGGGAAUGCAGCCACUGCCAAUGGCUAGCCUUGGAUGCAGAUCUCGUCAUUAGAAAUGGAGUAGUUUUCGGGACCAAGGCACCAACAGCGCACUCUAUCCUCGUAGAUGUCCAGUUUGUUCCCCCAUGCAGCAGUCACAUGGAGUGCGAUGAGAUGCCGAGAAAGCUCCAAAUUUUCAAUUCGAUGCAGGACCAAGAGACUGAAAGCAAUAAACGACAGCAAUACUAUGUUAAAUCUGGAGAUUCCGAAGACAGUGAUUACACAUCAGAAACCUCGUACGACUGUUGGUACGAGGCGAACGACCCUCCACCGCACUGCAGAUAUCCACAAGUCCACCGCAGAAAGCAACUCCCUAGGAUCCCUUCUUGCAGGAAAUACAAUAUCAGUAGUGGGGAUGGGUACUGGGAGGAGGAUCCUUUAGAUGUUGAGGCAGGCCCUCCGUCCUAUAAUAGCAGGC